AUGUUAGAGAUAAAUCCUCUUGCCGAGACAGCUGAUAAAAAGCUAGUUGCUGCUGAUUCAAAGUUGAGUUUCGAUGAUAACGCCGCAUUUAGGCUGAAAGAAAUAUUUGCACUGCGUGAUACAACACAGGAGGACCCCAGAGAGGUGGCUGCUGCUAAAGCAGAUUUGAAGUGCAUUGGGCUUGAUGGAGAGAUUGGUUGCAUGGUGAAUGGUGCAGGAUUGGCAAUGGCUACGAUGGACAUCAUUAAGCUGCAUGGUGGUACACCUGCCAAUUUUCUUGAUGUUGGUGGGAGUGCAUCCGAGGGACAGGUUGUGGAAGCAUUUAAGAUACUGACUUCAGAUGAUGGAGUGAAGGCAAUUCUAGUGAACAUUUUUGGAGGUAUCGUGCAGUGCGACGAGAUAGCAAGGGGAAUAGUGAAUGCAGCUAAACAGGUUGAUCUUAAGGUCCCUGUUGUUGUUCGGCUAGAAGGCACCAAUGCAGACCAAGGGAAAAGGAUUCUUAAGGAAAGUGGAAUGACAUUGAUGACCGCAGAAGAUCUUGAUGAUGCUGCGGAGAAGGCUGUAAAAGCAUCGGUGAAAUGA
This 582-nucleotide ribosomal RNA is filed under the name Triticum aestivum (bread wheat). Its description in RNAcentral is "partial small subunit ribosomal RNA". Lineage: Eukaryota; Viridiplantae; Streptophyta; Magnoliopsida; Poales; Poaceae. The record is from RNAcentral.